AGCUGGCUGGUGCCAUGAGGUGACUUCUGCCCAGUGCUCUGAUUGUUACUGCGAAGAGAUUCAGCCAAGCGCGGGUAAACGGCGGGAGUAACUAUGACUCUCUUAAGGUAGCCAAAUGCCUCGUCAACCAAUUAUUGACGCGCAUGAAUGGAUCAACGAGAUUCCUGCUGUCCCUAGUUGCUGUCUGGUGAACCAACAGCCAAGGGAACGGGCUUGGGUGUGUCAGCGGGGAAAGAAGACCCUGUUGAGUUUGACUCUAGUUUGAUGCUGUGCAACGACAUGUGGGGUGUAGCACAGGUGGGAGACCAGCGCCAUGCGUGGACACCAAAGGAGCAGGAGCAGAGAAUGUGACAGGAAAGACUCAGGUGCGAAUCAGCAGUGAAAUACCACUACCUUCACCGUCGUUUUACUCAUCGAGUUGCCUGGGAACGGCAGCCUUGAAUCGGCCUAUCACCUGAUGGACUGUGGCUAAUCCCCGUUUCGUGAGCAAAGUGUGGCCAAUGGUCGCACAACCCUGGAGCUGCAUUCCAAUCAGAAGCCUCGAGACAUUGAUCAGUUGGGGAGUUUGGCUGGGGCGGCACGCCUGUUACAGGACAACGCAGGCGUCCUGAAGCAAUGCUCAGAUGGAACAGAAAUCUCACAUGGAGGAGCAGGCCAAAGGUGCUGCUGAUGCGUCGACUCUCAGUACGAGUCCAAAACGUGCAAGUGUGGCCUUGCGAUCCUUUGGUCAAGCACACGAGUUUGGGAUAUUGAAGCCAGAGGUGUCAGAAAAAUUACCACAGGGAUAACUGGCUUGUGGCUGCCAAGCGUUCAAAGCGACGUCGCUUUUUGAUCCUUCGAUGUCGGCUCUUCCUAGCUUCCCACCCGCAGCCGAGUGGAAGAGUGGAUUGUUCACCCACCAACAGGGAACGUGA
Molecule: ribosomal RNA, 914 nt
Filed under: Colacium mucronatum
Lineage: Eukaryota; Euglenozoa; Euglenophyceae; Euglenales; Euglenaceae
Description: LSU rRNA
Rfam family: Eukaryotic large subunit ribosomal RNA
Source: RNAcentral